GACGAACGCUGGCGGCGUGCUUAACACAUGCAAGUCGAACGAUGAACCACUUCGGUGGGGAUUAGUGGCGAACGGGUGAGUAACACGUGGGCAAUCUGCCCUUCACUCUGGGACAAGCCCUGGAAACGGGGUCUAAUACCGGAUAACACUGUCACGGGCAUCUGUGGUGGUUAAAAGCUCCGGCGGUGAAGGAUGAGCCCGCGGCCUAUCAGCUUGUUGGUGAGGUAAUGGCUCACCAAGGCGACGACGGGUAGCCGGCCUGAGAGGGCGACCGGCCACACUGGGACUGAGACGCGGCCCAGACUCCUACGGGAGGCAGCAGUGGGGAAUAUUGCACAAUGGGCGAAAGCCUGAUGCAGCGACGCCGCGUGAGGGAUGACG
Molecule: ribosomal RNA, 381 nt
Filed under: uncultured bacterium
Lineage: Bacteria
Description: bacterial SSU rRNA
Rfam family: Bacterial small subunit ribosomal RNA
Source: RNAcentral